This 497-nucleotide ribosomal RNA is filed under the name uncultured bacterium. Its description in RNAcentral is "partial 16S ribosomal RNA". It matches the Rfam family "Bacterial small subunit ribosomal RNA", at positions 28 to 507 of the family's 1533-position model. The record is from RNAcentral.
GAUGAACGCUGGCGGCGUGCCUAAUACAUGCAAGUCGAGCGAACGGACGCUGAUCUUGCUUCUCUGUUGUUAGCGGCGGACGGGUGUGUAACACGUGGAUCACCUACCUGUAAUACUGGGAUCACUUCGGGAAACCGUAGCUAAUCCCGGAUAAUAUUUUGAACCGCAUGGUUGGAAAGUGAAAGACGGUCUUUCUGUCACUUAUCGCUGGUUCCGCGCUGCAUUAGCUAGUUGGUGAUCUAACGGCUUAUCAAGGCAACGAUGCAUAUCCGAACGGAGGGGGGGAUAGGCCACACUGGAACGGAGACACGGACCAGAGUACUAAGGGAGGCAGCAGUCGCGAACCGGCCGCAGCAGGGGAGAGCCUUACGGAGCAGCGCCGCGUCAGAGAUGAAGGCCCUCGGAUCGUAAAACCCGGUUACUGGGGAAGAACCUAUUUGUAAGUAGAUGAGCACUUAUUGACGGUACUUAAUAAGAAAGCACCGGCUAACUACGUG